Molecule: long non-coding RNA, 200 nt
Filed under: Manihot esculenta (cassava)
Lineage: Eukaryota; Viridiplantae; Streptophyta; Magnoliopsida; Malpighiales; Euphorbiaceae
Description: long non-coding RNA (MESC_LNC012827)
Source: RNAcentral
GGUCAGGUGGAGAUGACAGAGCAAGAGACCCUGAAAGGUCUGUUGAAGUCAGCAGAGAAGUUAUGGUGCAGAGGAGGGAUGUUAGUUUGCAAGUGAACAUGGAUGAAGAAAGUAUGGGAGAGUCUAAGAGUUCAAGUUCAGGAGAAGUUGAUCCCUCCAUGCUGAGUACAGCUACCAAGAGAGGUAGGAAAUGGGGAAGA